ACAUCACACUCCAGGUUUUAGCUCUCUGAUUGCUCUGGCUCAUUAUCUUCUGCUGUCUCUUAUUCCACUAUGUGCAGGAUUUGGGGACCUGAUGUUCAGUUAAGAAAGUGAAGUUUGAUAUACAGGAGAAGCAUUUGACAAAUCCUAAUAGAGCCACACACUACAAAAACUGGACCAAUACUUCCUCAAAUUGUCAAUGUCAUCGAAAACAAGGAAAGCUUGAGAAACUGUCACAGUCAAGAAGAGACACAGGAGAGAUGUCUAACUUGCGAUGUGGUUUCUGGGUGACAGGAAGCUGUCCAGAAGCCAGGAGUCCCGGCCAGGAUCCAUCAGGAACUGCCGGCUGGCGCUGGAUCUCGGUCUGCACUCCAAGCCAGGAGAGGGAAGCUCUGCCACAGGAAAUGAGAUAAUGCAUCUACAUACUCAUUUAUCUUCUCGGGAAAAUACAUUACGCAAAGAUACAUUUUUAUGCCCUAGACAUUUUAAAAGACACACAGCAGUUACACUUGUUUUGUCCUUAUCUUUGGUGUUACUGAUACACAAUCAUAAUUAUGAUGGCUAAUAUGUUAUGUGUAAGAAAAUAGUCUUGCUCCCAGUUUUCUACAAAAAAUAGUCCAAAAAUUUUUUUUCUACAGAAGAGACAGCAAGGUACAGAAGAGGGUACUAGGUGCUAUAGGGUUAGAAGACCUAGAUGUACCAUUUAAAACCUACUGACUGAUCGAGUCCCUUAGCUACAGUUAAUUAUCUAUUAAAUGGAGAAAGGAAAACUCUCCAGUGGACAGGAAUUUUGAGAUGACUAAAUUAGACACUGCUAUACUUUAGAUCUGAGAUGUCUCCCAAACGACUCACAUGUUCAGAGGUGGGGUUCGUGGAAGGUGAUUGCAUCCCAAGGUCACUAGUGCAUCAGUGGAUUAAUCCACUGAUGAAGUCGUAGCUAAUUUUGCUGUUACAAAGUGGAGCCUAGUUGCAAGAGGCAGGUCACUGUGGGAGUGAGGCGGAAGGAUACAUCUCGGUCGUCCCAGCUCCUUCAGUCACUCUUUGCACCUGCUCACCAUGAUGUGUGCAGCUUUCCUCUGCUAUGUCCCUCUGCCAUCCUGUUUCUUUCUUGGAGGUCUGAAGUACAGACUGAAGCUACUGACACAUGAACAAAAACAAACCUCUCUCCCUCUAAGCUGUGGGGCUUGAGUAUUUUGCCCUAGUGAAAAGAAAGGAACUAAGACAGGUACUGUGAAAGAAACUAUAACACACAUAGUUAUAGUGCCUUCCAAAACUAUAACUCACGUAGAGUUAACCUAGCCAGCCACUGGUAGCAGAUUGAUUUUUUAUUUCCCUCCUUCCAGUUGUCAUGUCAAAAGCAAGUAUUAUUUAAAAUGUAAAAAGAGGUAUUGACAUUGCUGGCCGAAUUGAGUCAGAGUUCAAAGUUUCAAUUCACAUUGGUCAGUUUAUGUAUUUAUGGGAGAACUUCCCUUUAAUGGAAAGAUUCCAUUAGCCUAGGGACAGCCAACAGUCAGCCAUAGACAUGAUUUCCUGUUUACCUUGAAGUGGAAAUUGUGGUUUGUUGUUAAUGAUUCAAGGAAGUGCUAGUCCUUGGUGAAGUGACCUCAUUUAAACAGAGCAGAAUAUGAGAAAGAACAAUUUGUGAUUUUCACUGAUGUAUAUUUUACAGAAAACUGGAUAGAUUCAUGAAUGUAAUGAUUGAAAACUUCUUUCACUAAUUUAUUUUUUUCUUUCAUGAAUGCUUAUUGACUUAUGUUUGAGGCUUUGUCUAGGGAUUGGUAAUGACAACAAGAAACAAGAUUUAGUAAUUCCUUUCAAGGAGUUGAUACGCUGGUUUAGAAAGUAAAUAAAGAAAUCUGUGACUAUAAGCAGAAUGUGAUGGGGCUACAGAAGAGGUCCUGGGCUGUACACUCCACCAAAGCCCAGGAUCCCCAGAGUCAUCUCAGUCCCCUGCACCAUGGAGGCAGGAAGAGCUUUGGCAAGUAAGCUGCUCCCAGACUGGACCGGUGGCACCUCUGCUAUACCCUGAGAUGCCUCCCAUGUGCUCUUCCCUGGAAUUCUUUCCUGUUACACUCUCUGAGGGUCUUUAGCCAGUUUAAGGCAGGAGGCCACUAUAAAGUCUCCUAUACCUAUGUCUUCGUUCAAACGUUACUGGCGUACAGCUGGAUGUACUUUCGAAAAUAAAAAUCUGAGAGUUCUA
This is a long non-coding RNA of Chinchilla lanigera (long-tailed chinchilla), 2197 nucleotides long. RefSeq lists it as uncharacterized. The transcript has 5 exons. The record is from RefSeq and is a predicted model, not a curated record. NCBI's taxonomy places the organism in Eukaryota, Metazoa, Chordata, Mammalia, Rodentia, Chinchillidae.